CACAUGCAAGUCGAGCGGAAACGAUGGUAGCUUGCUACCAGGCGUCGAGCGGCGGACGGGUGAGUAACGCGUGAGAAUCUGCCCAUUUGUGGGGGAUAACUCGGGGAAACUCGAGCUAAUACCGCAUAAUCCCUACGGGGGAAAGCAGGGGACCUUCGGGCCUUGUGCAGAUGGAUGAGCUCGCGUCGGAUUAGCUUGUUGGUGAGGUAAAGGCUCACCAAGGCGACGAUCCGUAGCUGGUCUGAGAGGAUGAUCAGCCACACCGGGACUGAGACACGGCCCGGACUCCUACGGGAGGCAGCAGUGGGGAAUCUUGGACAAUGGGGGCAACCCUGAUCCAGCCAUGCCGCGUGUGUGAAGAAGGCCUUCGGGUUGUAAAGCACUUUCAGUAGGGAGGAAGGCUUACCGCUAAUAACGGUGAGUACUUGACGUUACCUACAGAAGAAGCACCGGCUAAUUUCGUGCCAGCAGCCGCGGUAAUACGAAAGGUGCGAGCGUUAAUCGGAAUUACUGGGCGUAAAGCGCGCGUAGGCGGUUUGUUAAGUCAGAUGUGAAAGCCCCGGGCUCAACCUGGGAAUUGCAUUUGAAACUGGCAGGCUAGAGUGCAGUAGAGGGAGGUGGAAUUUCCGGUGUAGCGGUGAAAUGCGUAGAGAUCGGAAGGAACACCAGUGGCGAAGGCGGCCUCCUGGACUGACACUGACGCUGAGGUGCGAAAGCGUGGGGAGCAAACAGGAUUAGAUACCCUGGUAGUCCACGCCGUAAACGAUGUCUACUAGUCGUUGGGAAUCUUAGUAUUCUUGGUGACGAAGUUAACGCGAUAAGUAGACCGCCUGGGGAGUACGGCCGCAAGGUUAAAACUCAAAUGAAUUGACGGGGGCCCGCACAAGCGGUGGAGCGUGUGUUUAAUUCGAUGCAACGCGAAAACCUUACCAGGCCUUGACAUCCUUGGACUUUCUAGAGAUAGAUUGGUGCCUUCGGGAGCAAGUGACAGGUGCUGCAUGGCUGUCGUCAGCUCGUGGUCGUGAGAUCGUCGAGUUAAGUCCCGUAACGAGCGCCACCCUUGUCCUAAUUGUGCACGCACUUCGGGGGAACUCUAGGGAGAACGUGCGGGUGUGAAAAACAGAAGAAAAAGUGGAAAACUCCAGGA
Molecule: ribosomal RNA, 1147 nt
Filed under: uncultured Alcanivorax sp.
Lineage: Bacteria; Pseudomonadati; Pseudomonadota; Gammaproteobacteria; Oceanospirillales; Alcanivoracaceae
Description: bacterial SSU rRNA
Rfam family: Bacterial small subunit ribosomal RNA
Source: RNAcentral